UACCCCAACCAGGUGUUCGCCACUGUCAAACGCCCUUAGAAUUCUGUCAGUAAGUCUGACAAGAUGGUCAGUCGUUGACCGUCCCCUCCGAAAACCAGUUUGAUAAGGUACGUACACAUUGUAGUUUUCAAGAAGUGUUUGCAACCGCACAUUAACCAUUUUCUCAAGCAGUUUGCCCAAGUAAGAUGUCAAACUAAUAGGGCGAUAACUCUGUGCCAGUAGCGGAUCUUUUCCUGGUUUCGGUAUAGGGACGAUGACUGCCUGUUUCCAUUCUGAGGGAGGUACAGUGACGAAGCAUCUGGUUAUGGAUACCAUCAUGGCCUGGUGAGCAUGACUUGGUACUACGGAGUGCAGUCUCCAAUUCUUCCCGAGUAAAAGGUUUAGUGUCCAAAAAGGUGGGAGGAUAGUUAGAGGAGCUACUAACCUUGUAGAAUUGAUCAGCAAUAAUGUUACUUAUUUCUUGCAGAUCAUUUAUAAUAUUGCCCUCAGCGUUUCGCAGAAACGUCGGGUAAAUGAAACUGAUUUUACC
Photinus pyralis (common eastern firefly) is the source of this 529-nucleotide long non-coding RNA. RefSeq lists it as uncharacterized. The record is from RefSeq and is a predicted model, not a curated record. The transcript has 3 exons. Lineage: Eukaryota; Metazoa; Arthropoda; Insecta; Coleoptera; Lampyridae.